Molecule: long non-coding RNA, 8476 nt
Filed under: Daucus carota (carrot)
Lineage: Eukaryota; Viridiplantae; Streptophyta; Magnoliopsida; Apiales; Apiaceae
Description: long non-coding RNA (DCAR_LNC002476)
Source: RNAcentral
GUGGUUUCCGAAGUAGGAUGGCCAACGGAAGGACACUCUGCAGCUACUAUUGACAAUGCCAGGACUCAUAACAACGGAUUGAUUAAUCAUGUACAGAGCAUUGGGACUCCAAAAAGACCUCAGAAGCGUAUCGAUUGAUUAAUCAUGUACAGAGCAUUGGGACUCCAAAAAGACCUCAGAAGCGUAUCGAGACUUAUAUCUUCAAUUUGUUUGACGAGAACAAGAGGGAUCCGGAGGUCGAGAGGCACUGGGGAAUCUUCUGGAACAACAAACAGGCCAAGUACAACAUCAAUUUCCAAAAUCAGUAAUAAGUUCAAGUAUAAAAUAGCAGUUUAUCAUUAAUAAAAGGGUUCGGGAAUGUAUGAGUACCCACGAAGAACCAAUUUUACAAACUGCUGUUUGUUUGUACCAAAGCUUUACACCAAUAUAUCAUUCGGACACUUUCAAAUUUUUGAUCUCAUUUAAAACAUUGUUUUGAGAAAUUGUAUUAGUCUUAAAAGUAAAAAGUUAAAUUCAAAAAUAAAUCAACAAUCUGAGAAGUGUUAAAGCCCUACGAGUAACACUGUGUUAAAGACCUAUGAGUAACACUUCUGAAACUGUCGAUUUGUUUUCGAAUUUAACUUUUUAUUUUUAGGAAAAAUUGAUUUUUUUGUCACUCAACUUAUUACGUUUUUAGAAACUUGCCACCCAACUAAUUUUUUUUUUCCUUUUACUCACUAAUGUUUGGUUUGGAUUUUUUUUUUUAGCCACCAACUUAGGUUCAGAUUUGAUUACUAGCAUUAUGAUAAUUUUUUAUAGCAUCAUUUAUACAUAGUGAUAGUAUGUAAUAUUUUAAUGAUGUCGUAUGUUUAUAUCUUUAUAUAUAGUAAUAAUAAUAUAAAAUGAGCCGAUGAAAAUUUAAAACCAGGAAAAAUCGUAAUUAGAAUUCUAAAAAAAUUCAAUAAUUCAUGAAUAUGAAAUCAGUGAUUUCAAACAAUUCACCCUCCCUAAUAAGAUAAAGUGUAAUUGAGUGAUAUGAUGCAUCAUCUUUCAUUAUUAAAGUUUCAAUCGACUAGCUCCGUCUAAGAUCUCUCUUAAAUUUAUCUUCAUAAAUUUUAAUAACUUCAUCUCUUGCUUCAAAAAAAUAAAAUAACUUUAUCUUAUUACAAUUUUCAAGAUAAAUAAAUAGAGAGGUUAACUUAAUUUUCGAUGAUUGUCCUCUAUAAUGCAUCAUUUUAUUAUUAUUACUCACUCCAUCCCUCUCAUUAGUUUACAGUUUAUUCUACUGCUUAGCACGUAUUUUAAAACUCCUAUAAAACAUAGUUUCGUAACUUAUCACCCUAUGUAAACGACAUUGGAGACAUAAAGUACUAUAUAUGAAGAUACGGACAUUUACCAAAUCAUCAAAAUAUUACAGACUACCACUAUAUUUUAAUAAUACUACAAAUAAUUAAUGUAAUGCUAAUAAUCAAAUCUGAACCUAACUUCAGUGACAAAAAAAAAUAACCUAACAUUAGUGAGUAAAAUAAAAAAUAUUAUAGUUGAAUGGUUAAUUUUUAAAGAGGCAAUAAAUUUAGUGACAAAAAAAUUUAUCAUAAUGCUAGUAAUCAAAUCGUUUUAAAAUUAAACAAAUAUCCCCUCAAACUCUUAAAAACUAACAAUAUCACCACCCUAGCUUUGCCAUCAACUUCCAAAAACUUACACUUUCUACCCCCUGCCACGUCAGCACUGGGGUCCACGUCACCCUGCCACGUGAGUCCCCCACUGCUGACUAGUACUAGUGCGUGGUUUUGAUCAAAUGGGUGAGCCAUCAAGAAACAAACGGCAACGGAUUUGAGAUCGCGAAGACGUCUUCGGUUGAGUUAUAUAUCAAGUAAGUUUUUAUCUUUCUAAAGUUGUAAAAUCACAUCAAAAUCAAGAGGAUCUUCGUCAGAUUAGUCUUUGUGAAUUAUAUCCUUGUAUUUUAAAACCGCUUCUAUUCAUAGAUUUAUUCUUGAUUUAUCGUCAAACUAAUAUAUUUUUCUUAUCUUUGUUCAUAAUUUAGUGUGUAUCAUUUUUCUUAUGAAUCAUCUUUUUUAAAAUUUUUGUGAAUCUUUGUUGUGCUAAAUUAGUUUUUGAUCGGCUCUUCGUUCCGAUGUAUAUCUUUUUGGUUUAGUGUACAUGGAGGUGCAUUGUUAUGAUUUUUGAUGCCGGUAUAGUUUUUGUACGAAAACUUUACAUUAAUAUUCUUGUUCUUUCGUGACUAGUCACAAUAUUACUAUUGUUUGAGUUCAAUGCAUAUAUUCUUAAUAUGUAUUAAUUUGGGUGUGUUUUCAUGAUUUCUUGAUUUGUAUUGUUAUACGAAUUUCGUUCCUCGUACUUUUUCAGAUAGGUUAUUAAGGAUCUUGAAAAUCUUUUCCCAACUUUCACAUCUUUUGUGUUUUUUUUAAAAAAACCUAAAAAUUAGCAUUUUUUAAGUUAUGCUAAUAAUUAUUUGUUAGGCAAAAAAAUUGUUUUUGAUUAAUAUGUUUUAAAUGUGCCUUUGAUGCUCUUUAAAUGUGUUGUUUGUAUUAAGGAAUGUUGGUCAACUAUUCUUAAGUGAUAUAUGGUACAAUCAAUUACUUGCUUAAUUUUGAUAAUUGAUUACUUUUUUUAAGUUUCUAAGAUUCAAAUUUUGAAUUUUUAAAUAAAUGUUGCGUGAUACAUGUUACAAUCAAUUACUUGUUUAAUCUUGAAAAUUGAUUACUUUUAUUAACUUUCUAAGAUUCAAAUUUUGAAUUGCUUAAAUAAAUGUUGUGUGAUAUAUGUUAUAAUCAAUUACUUGCUUAAUUUUGAAAAUUGAUUACUUUUAUUAAGCUUUUAAGAUUCAAAUUUUGAAUUUUUUAAAUAAAUGUCGUGUGAUAUAUAUGUGAUAGAAAUUGAGUACCAUAUCUUGGAGGUCAAGUCUUACGGCUUGUUUAGUGACUUUUAAUAGUCUAAGUGCCAUUUUUUGGAGGCAAUAAUUGAUGGUAUAAUUAUACCUUUAAGAGGUAUUUUGUGUCAUAGCUGAUGACUAGUAAAUAUCAGUAUAUUAUUUUAAUGAUAAUUAUUUAGAGUAUUAUUCAUUGUAAAUAUAUUAUAUAUAACGCUUGCUGGCUCUAACUUUAUUUCUGUGUAUAUAUUUAUGUGUGUGUGUGUGUUUAUAUAUAUAUAUAUAUAUAUAUAUAUAUAUAUAUCAAAUAUUUUCAUAAAUAUAACUAGUGAGUUUAUUUUUUAUUUUUAUGAAAUAUUUAGUUUAAUAUAUUUAUAUUUUAAUGUUAGUAUUUUGCAAUUUGGAGAGUAUAUAUUAGUAAUAUAUUUUUAUAUUAUAUAAGUUUUCAAAAGAGUAUGAUUAAUUUUUUUGUUUAUUUUCCUGACAAAAAUAUAAAAUCUUUUGUUAGUGUUAUUUGUUUUCACAAGUAAAUAUUAGUAUGAAUUAUGAAUUUUUAUUAUUUGUGUGUCUAACCAAAGUUCUCGCUUUGGUUAGACAUUAUAUUUUUUCAUAAUUAUCUCUUGUUUUGUAUAAGUUUUAAUAUUCAUAUUGUUAAAUAAGAUAUUAUGUUUUCUGUUAGGAAUUACGUCAUAAUUCGAUAUAUAUUUUUUAUAAUAUACACUUUUUUUACUUUAAUUAUUAUUCUUAUGUUUCUCUUUGUUUGUUUGAUUUUCAGGAUCAUGGAAAGAGACUGGGUUUUCUUUUUCAGACUUUAAAGUCUUAUUAUCUAAACGUCCGGAGAUAUCUUUGCGUAUCUUUCGGUUAAAUGAUAAACUUUCUAGAAUGAAAGAAAUCUCUGAUGCGGUUAUUGUAUCUAUGAUACAACUCAUCUACGAGCAUGUAGAUCCUGACAAAAAAAAAAUCCGAACCUAAAUUGGUGGCUAAAAAAAAUCCAAACCUAACAUUAGUGAGCAAAACGAAAAAAAUUUUGUUGGGUGGCAAGUUUCUAAAAACAUAGUAAGUUGAGUGGAAAAAAAAAAUCUAUUUUCCUUAAUUUUAAGACUGGUAAAUUUCUGAAACGAUGUUUCAAAUGAGACCGAAAAUUCGAGGAUGCCCCGAUGAUAUAUUGGUGCGAAGUGAGUGUCAAAUUUGAUAAUUAAAUUAAUUUUAAAUCAGAUUUUUCAUAUUUCGUAUAUCUUUAUAUGUAUGAAAAAAGAUAUUUGUCGAGUUAGAACGGGUUACGUAAUGGUUCGUGAGUUAUAAAGAGUUGUAUGAGGAUUCUUGUUAAAACAAUAUUCAAACUGUAUAUUUAUAAUUUUAUUUUAACUUCAUUAUAAUUUUUUUAUAAAAUAUUAUAUGAUAAUGUAUUGUGAUAAGUGUUUAUAAGAGUAAUAGACCUCCAUAUGUUAUAGACUUCUAGUUCCAUAGGGAGAGUACCAAAAAAAAAACAUAAACAAAAAACAUUCUGGACAACAAAUUAUAUAUAUGUUGACAUAUUAUAGCAUAGUAUAGAUGUAAUCUAAUUUUGAGAUUUUAAUACAAGAGCAUCUUGAACUAUACAGAUUUAGCCAACCAAUUUUAGUCAAUCCCGUUAGGAUGCUCUAGUAAAUUUAAGUCAAAUUUUUUUUUUUUUGAAAGGCAAAAGGGAGAUUAUAUUAAUAAUAAUGGACCAGUACAUCAGAGCAGAUCAGCAAAACAUGUCCAAACGAUUCCCUAGCAUGUCCAAACGAUUCCCUAGCAAUCAUUACAUUUAAUUUCAGCAGACAUAAUACCCUUCCAAAAGCUGCAUAAACUGACCACUACUGCUACUAAUGAUCUACUACUACUAGUGAUACUAGAAAAGAUAUAACUAAAGACCCUUUCCAUGCAGUUCCUGAACAAACCCUUGAACUUCCAUAGUUACUCCAGCUCAAUGAUCUCCACCCCAUUCACAUUUGCAAUAGCAUCCAUAGCAUCUAGAGCACCAUCUUCAACGACCGGAGCUUGAUCCUCAGCAUCAUCCUCCACAGCAGGCUCCAGUUCAGCCUCAUGAACAGCAACAAAAUGAGGGUCAGCUUGACCUAAUCCCAUGUCCAAGUGCCAGAGCUCAAACACCCUACCAAAGGGAUGAGCCAUAAUCACCAUAACUUUGAAGUGAUGAGCUCCAUAUUCAGCCAAAUACUCAGCCAAAGCGUUAGCUUCAAGAUCACAGAGAGAGAUAUCCAUAUCAAAGCUUGCAUCAGCCUUGCGUUGGUUGAGUUGCUGCACAAUAAACUGAUCAUCCGGGUGGACGCCUUCAAGAUGAGAGUUUCGCCAUUCCCAGAAUGACUCAAAGUGGUCUGAUUCCAGGAUGAAGCGUUCCCAACCUUCCAGAAAAGCACAUUUGCAUCCUUCCAACAUGGCCUGAAACUCAUUCAACCUGCGAGACUGAAUACCAAGGGAGCCCGAAAUCAUACGCAAGAUUUUCCCACGACUGUUGCGAACAACCACACCGAUGCUAGAGACGUUGCCAUUGGGAAGAGCAUUGACAAGGAAACAACCAUGCACAUUAAUUUUGAUCUUUCCCUGACGAGGCAUAAUCAUCAACAAAUUCAGGCUCAACCAUUAAGAGAAAGUGUUAACAAAGGAGAGGGUUUAAUGAUGGAGUUCAGUGUUUUAAAAAGUAAAAAUUGGUAAAAAAACAUGAAAUAAGAAUUAAUUGAAUUAAUCAUAAUUAAUCAUAUAAUUAUAUAUUUAACCGGUUCAAAGAGUAUGGAACAGAGACUAAUCAAAAUUAAUCACUGAUUUCUAGAAUAAUAACGGAGUCUAGCAUAACGUACAUAUUAGCUACGAUGUUCGGUAUAAUCUUAACAAUAUAUACUGAUUUGACCUAUAUCAAAUUUGUUCUAAAAAUUGAGAGUCUAAAUUUAUACUAUUUAAUUUGUACUCUCAAAUAAUUUUUGAGUUAGAUUUGGUUUUGUUUAUCGAAAUAGAUCGAUAUCAAAACUUAAAAAUAAUUUAAAUCAUACACGAUUCUGAUUGAAAAUCUAAAAAAACGUGUGAAUGAGAUAUGAGAAUGGAAAUAAAUAAUGAGAUGAAGAGUAUGCGAAUGAAUAUCCCAGAUAGUGUCAAAUGAAUAAUUUAUCCAUAAAAUAAAAAUGGAAUUCCAAUUACAUAACAUAAAAUGCUAGGAUCGGAACUCUUAAAGUCAGGGUUAUUUCGAACACCAACACUUAUAUUUAAGAUUCUGAUUCCUCUUAACUGGACAUUAAUUAUGAAGAUCUUUCAACUCUAAAACGGCCACGACGGGAGUCUGCACUCUCUGCGCUACAGCAUACAGUGCUGUCACCUAUAUUUUGUUACCAUAUCUAUUUGGUUCUAAUUUUUUUUGGAUGAUAUAGGCUAUUGAGUUUUAAGACCUUCUAGAUUAAUUUAGAUUAUGAAUUCAAGAUUUUGUAGAUUCAUUUGGAUUAUGAAUAGCAAAUUUAACUCGAUUUAAUGAUAAAAUAAUUUUGCUCAUUUUCAUAAUCAUAUAUCAAAAUUUUUCGAGUCAAUUCUCAGUCAAAUCGGAGUUCGGAUAACCCCCUAUUUUGAUAUUUCAUCGGUGCCUCCAAACUUCGAACUAUAUAUCUAUCUACAUGACGCUAGUAAAAAAACUGGUGCUUAUCUUGUUUCGAAAGGAACAAUGAGCAAAAAUGUGAAGUAUAUCUUCGAUGCCAAUUCUCGUGAACUGGUUUGCCACAUAUUUCCUUAAUUUGGCAAAAACUAACCUGGACCUCAACCCAGGGCUCAUGCAAUCAACGACGCACUUGAGUUUCAAAACACCCUGAGCGAGCCACGUAAAAGAAACACUUCGGCACGUAGCUUAUCAGAGCAUCUCCUGGGGUGCCAAGAGAGGUGCCAAAAUGCCAUGUGGCAUGACAUGACAUAACAAUCUUUUUGGCUACCCAUUGGAGUGAUAGGGGUGCCAAGCAAAGUUGCCAAUUUUUGGCACCCUUUGGCAUCCUCCCAAAAUGGGAAAAAUUCAUUUAUUGUCAUAAAAGCCUAUAAUAUCCUAUCUAAUUUUAGAUAAACAAAAUUAUAGUAUUUUUGACAACUUUAGUUGCCAACCAUUGAAGUGAAUAUUGAUAAGAGGGGUGCCAAAAGUAACUUAAAAGAAAGAGAAAAUAAAAUAUUGAUAUUUUUGAUGAAUAAGCAUGUUUAGCAAUUUUGGUUGGCACCUCACAUUGGAGAUGCUCUCGCUGUAACAAACUUGCAUGUCAUUUCGGCCGCAUUUGCCUUGGUGUUUAUCACUUUGCCCUCAUUCAAGUAUUUCCGACCCGACCCGGCCCCUUCUCCACACUAUAAAUAGGACCCCAAGUACUACAUGCAGAUCACCAUCAAAGAAAGUAGAGCAAGAGUUCUCUUAGUAUCCAGAGCUUUGUUAUCAAAAUGCAUUCGAGAAUUCCCUUUGUAGUGUUGCUACUUUCAUUAUUAUCUUCAAGCUUCCUCCAGAUUGCCUUAGGUGCGUGCAGCUAUUAUAUAAGCUUGUUUCGAUAAUUUUGCACAAUUUUUUUUUAAAAUUUACUAACGUGUAUAAAAUUAUUAUUGCAGGUGCUCUGAGGAACGACAACCAAGCGCAACCUGUAGGUGUUACCUAUGGAACAUUUGCUGACAAUCAACCGUCAGCUCAAGAAGCCGUGGGUCUUGUCCAAUCUGUCGGGAUCAGGAGAAUUAGACUUUAUGGCCCGGACCAUAAUGCUCUGAAUUCCCUCAGGAACACGGGCAUUGAAGUUGUGCUUGGCGUCCCCAACGACCAUCUCCCGUGGAUUGCCUCUAACCAAGACAACGCCAAGCAGUGGAUCCAAGGCAAUGUCCAAAACUAUCAGAACGUCAAUUUCAGGUUCAUUGUUGUUGGCAAUGGAAUUACUCCGUUCCACGACCAGACUUCCCAGUUCGCGCAGUUUGUCCUCCCUGCCAUGCAAAACAUCCAGAACGCAAUUUCUGCAUUCGGCCUCCAGAACAAAAUGAGAGUCACCACAGCCGUGGACCAAUCCGAGAUGCUUAACGUGAACUAUCAGCCAUCACAGAGUGAAUUCAGGCCCGAAGCCAGACAAUUCAUCGAUCCAAUCAUCCAAUUCCUAGUUCACAACAACAAUGCACCCUUGCUCGUCAACCUUCACCCUUUCUACAGCUUAGUGCACGUAAAGGAAGACAUCCCUAUGGACUUAGAAGCUCAAGCCCACCGCGAAUCCAGAAGUGCUCGUUUUGAUUACGCUACUUUCAGGUCUGCACAAACUCGUGUCCAAGACGGACCACUUAUCUACACAAACUUGUUUGAUUCAAUGGUGGACAGUGUACACGCCGCGCUAGAGAAGGCUGGCGGAUCCUCCUUGGAUGUGGUGGUCUCCGAAGUAGGAUGGCCAACGGAAGGACACUCUGCAGCUACUAUUGACAACGCCAGGACUCAUAACAACGGAUUGAUUAAUCAUGUACAGAGCAUUGGGACUCCAAAAAGACCUCAGAAGCGUAUUGAGACUUAUAUCUUCAAUUUGUUUGACGAGAACAAGAGGGAUCCGGAGGUCGAGAGGCACUGGGGAAUCUUCUGGAACAACAAACAAGCCAAGUACA